Molecule: ribosomal RNA, 230 nt
Filed under: Rhodotus palmatus
Lineage: Eukaryota; Fungi; Basidiomycota; Agaricomycetes; Agaricales; Physalacriaceae
Description: partial 28S ribosomal RNA
Rfam family: Eukaryotic large subunit ribosomal RNA (bases 38-230)
Source: RNAcentral
CAGCUUCUAAUCGUCUUCGGACAACUAAUUGACCAUUUGACCUCAAAUCAGGUAGGACUACCCGCUGAACUUAAGCAUAUCAAUAAGCGGAGGAAAAGAAACUAACAAGGAUUCCCCUAGUAACUGCGAGUGAAGAGGGAAAAGCUCAAAUUUAAAAUCUGGCAGCUUCGCUGUCCGAGUUGUAAUUUAGAGAAGCGAUGCCCGCGCUGGACCGUGUACAAGUCUCCUGA